UACGGGGGGGGCAAGCGUUGUUCGGAAUUACUGGGCGUAAAGGGUUCGUAGGUGGCCAACUAAGUCAGACGUGAAAUCCCUCGGCUUAACCGGGGAACUGCGUCUGAUACUGGAUGGCUAGAGUUUGGGAGAGGGAUGCGGAAUUCCAGGUGUAGCGGUGAAAUUCGUAGAUAUUCGGCGGAACACCAGUGGCGAAGGCGACUCACUGGCCCGAUACUGACGCUGAGGCGCGAAAGCGUGGGGAGCAAACAGG
This 253-nucleotide ribosomal RNA is filed under the name uncultured bacterium. RNAcentral's name for it is "partial 16S ribosomal RNA". It matches the Rfam family "Bacterial small subunit ribosomal RNA", at positions 524 to 776 of the family's 1533-position model. The record is from RNAcentral.